RNAcentral lists this ribosomal RNA (381 nucleotides) under Haemaphysalis longicornis (longhorned tick). RNAcentral describes it as "Eukaryotic large subunit ribosomal RNA". It matches the Rfam family "Eukaryotic large subunit ribosomal RNA", at positions 2425 to 2661 of the family's 3401-position model. The record is from Rfam by way of RNAcentral. Lineage: Eukaryota; Metazoa; Arthropoda; Arachnida; Ixodida; Ixodidae.
ACUCUACUCUGGCUCUGUGAAGAGACGUGAGAGGUGAAGCAUAAGUGGGGUGGCGUGCGGUUCGGCCCCGUUACGGCGGGGUUCGCGCGUACGUCAGUGGAAUACCACUACUCUCAUCGUUUCUUACUCGCUGGAGCGGAGAGCGGACCAAUGAGUGUCCACUCUUCUAGCGCCAAGUGCAGUGGUCCCCGGGCCUCCGUCGGGUGCGCUCGGUGGGCCUGCACGAUCUGUUCCGAGGAGAGUGUCAGGCGGGGAGUUUGACUGGGGCGGUACAUUUAUCAAACGGUACAUCUGUCAGAAGGAGCAAAUCGUCUGCAAUCGUGGACUUAAACCUUCUUGAUGGUCGUGAAGGUUGCGUACAGCCUCUCCCGCUUCAAGUGU